AAGUAAAAGUCGUAACAAGGUCUCCGUUGGUGAACCAGCGGAGGGAUCAUUACCGAGUUUACAACUCCCAAACCCAUGUGAACAUACCUACUGUUGCUUCGGCGGGAUUGCCCCGGGCGCCUCGUGUGCCCCGGACCAGGCGCCCGCCUAGGAAACUUAAUUCUUGUUUUAUUUUGGAAUCUUCUGAGUAGUUUUUACAAAUAAAUAAAAACUUUCAACAACGGAUCUCUUGGUUCUGGCAUCGAUGAAGAACGCAGCGAAAUGCGAUAAGUAAUGUGAAUUGCAGAAUUCAGUGAAUCAUCGAAUCUUUGAACGCACAUUGCGCCCGCCAGUAUUCUGGCGGGCAUGCCUGUCUGAGCGUCAUUUCAACCCUCAUGCCCCUAGGGCGUGGUGUUGGGGAUCGGCCAAAGCCCGCGAGGGACGGCCGGCCCCUAAAUCUAGUGGCGGACCCGUCGUGGCCUCCUCUGCGAAGUAGUGAUAUUCCGCAUCGGAGAGCGACGAGCCCCUGCCGUUAAACCCCCAACUUUCCAAGGUUGACCUCAGAUCAGGUAGGAAUACCCGCUGAACUUAAGCA
This 574-nucleotide ribosomal RNA is filed under the name Clonostachys sp. G539. Its description in RNAcentral is "eukaryotic LSU rRNA". The stretch from base 210 to 363 matches the Rfam family "5.8S ribosomal RNA". Lineage: Eukaryota; Fungi; Ascomycota; Sordariomycetes; Hypocreales; Bionectriaceae. The record is from RNAcentral.